Molecule: long non-coding RNA, 275 nt
Filed under: Mytilus galloprovincialis (Mediterranean mussel)
Lineage: Eukaryota; Metazoa; Mollusca; Bivalvia; Mytilida; Mytilidae
Source: RNAcentral
UAAAUAAAGGCAACAGUAGUAUACCGAUGUUCAAACUCAUAAAUCCAUGGACAAAAAACAAAAUCGGGGUAACAAACUAAAACUGAGGGAAACGCAUUAAAUAUAAGAGGAGAACAACGACACAACACUACAAUGUAACACACAGAGAAACGGACCAAGCAACAGACAAAAUCCCACGAGAAUAACAAAUAUAACAUCAAAACCAAAUACAUGAAUUUGGGAUAGACAAGUACCGUGACACGUCUUAUCGCAAUGUGAAUUUACACUAAAAAAUA